RNAcentral lists this unclassified non-coding RNA (19 nucleotides) under Mus musculus (house mouse). Its description in RNAcentral is "oocyte_clustered_small_RNA12978". The record is from RNAcentral. Lineage: Eukaryota; Metazoa; Chordata; Mammalia; Rodentia; Muridae.
AUAGAGACUGCAGACUGGA